GAUGAACGCUGGCGGCGUGCCUAAUACAUGCAAGUCGAGCGAACAGACGAGGAGCUUGCUCCUCUGACGUUAGCGGCGGACGGGUGAGUAACACGUGGAUAACCUACCUAUAAGACUGGGAUAACUUCGGGAAACCGGAGCUAAUACCGGAUAAUAUAUUGAACCGCAUGGUUCAAUAGUGAAAGACGGUUUUGCUGUCACUUAUAGAUGGAUCCGCGCCGCAUUAGCUAGUUGGUAAGGUAACGGCUUACCAAGGCAACGAUGCGUAGCCGACCUGAGAGGGUUAUCGGCCACACUGGAACUGAGACACGGUCCAGACUCCUACGGGAGGCAGCAGUAGGGAAUCUUCCGCAAUGGGCGAAAGCCUGACGGAGCAACGCCGUGUGAGUGAUGAAGGUCUUCGGAUCGUAAAACUCUGUUAUUAGGGAAGAACAAAUGUGUAAGUAACUAUGCACGUCUUGACGGUACCUAAUCAGAAAGCCACGGCUAACUACGUG
RNAcentral lists this ribosomal RNA (497 nucleotides) under uncultured bacterium. RNAcentral's name for it is "partial 16S ribosomal RNA". It matches the Rfam family "Bacterial small subunit ribosomal RNA", at positions 28 to 507 of the family's 1533-position model. The record is from RNAcentral.